GCGGAUGGCCGGGUGGCUGCGGGGGCAACCUCGAGGAAAGUCCGGACUCCACGAAGCGACGGUGCCGGGUAACGCCCGGGCGGGGCAACCCGACGGAUAGCGCCACAGAGAAGAGACUACCCCGCAUGCCGGGGGAAAGGUGAAACGGUGGGGUAAGAGCCCACCGCGGGGCUGGCAACAGCGCCGGCAAGGCAAGCCCCACCGGGAGCAAUGCCAAAUAGGAGCCUCACACGGGCCGCUUCGGCCUCGGGGCUCGGGUUGGCAGCUAGAGGGUCGGCAGUAAUGCCUGCCCGAGAUGAAUGGCCACCCCGCCCGCAGGCUCAGGUCCGGGGGCGGACAGAAUCCGGCUUACAGGCCAUCCGCGCAA
This 367-nucleotide RNase P RNA is filed under the name Vannielia litorea. RNAcentral's name for it is "Oceanicola litoreus Bacterial RNase P class A". It matches the Rfam family "Bacterial RNase P class A". From Rfam's summary of the family: Ribonuclease P (RNase P) is a ubiquitous endoribonuclease, found in archaea, bacteria and eukarya as well as chloroplasts and mitochondria. Its best characterised activity is the generation of mature 5'-ends of tRNAs by cleaving the 5'-leader elements of precursor-tRNAs. The record is from Rfam by way of RNAcentral. Lineage: Bacteria; Pseudomonadati; Pseudomonadota; Alphaproteobacteria; Rhodobacterales; Paracoccaceae.